This 139-nucleotide small RNA is filed under the name Streptomyces albus. RNAcentral describes it as "ydaO/yuaA leader". It matches the Rfam family "c-di-AMP riboswitch aptamer (ydaO/yuaA leader)", at positions 24 to 134 of the family's 134-position model. Rfam says of the family: This family represents a conserved RNA structure found upstream of the ydaO and yuaA genes in Bacillus subtilis and related genes in other bacteria. The ydaO/yuaA element is thought to act as a genetic "off" switch for the ydaO and yuaA genes in its native state. Lineage: Bacteria; Bacillati; Actinomycetota; Actinomycetes; Kitasatosporales; Streptomycetaceae. The record is from RNAcentral.
GUGGGAACCGGGGAACCACCCCUUCUCGUCGUAAAGGCGGGAAGGACGGGGUGAAUCGGACGCUCUCGACCGGGGGCGCCCGUAGGAGACCUUCCUGCUCCGAACCCGUCAGCUAACCCGGUAGGCGAGAAGGAAGGAA